Molecule: long non-coding RNA, 434 nt
Filed under: Canis lupus familiaris (dog)
Lineage: Eukaryota; Metazoa; Chordata; Mammalia; Carnivora; Canidae
Description: lncRNA (ENSCAFG00845009962.1)
Source: RNAcentral
CUCUCAUUAUAAUAACAAAAUGUAUUCAUAUAUGCAGUGGAGUUAUAUGAGAGAUAUGAUCCUGAAGCAAAUUCAUAGCAACUAUGGUCAAACCUGCACUUGUGAGCACUAGAGCAACACUCAGCUCCAUGAGAUGUUCAUCCUCCACAGUACUGGAAACUUAGCUCUCCCAACAGAUGGCAAAAUUGUGCCUCAUGUCCCGACCUCCCUCAGGACCUUGUACUCAUUGAGGAAUUUGGGAAACAAAAACAACUAACAGUUGAAAGCAGAGUGUAAAAUUGUAGAGUAUAGAACAGAGGAAACUGGCUAUAGGAAAAUGGACAAUCUUGCCUCUACCAAAAACAGCUCUCAGAGGUGAGUGGUUUAAAAUUGACUUGGUGACUAGUGGGCCAGAUCUGCUUUUGUAAACUGGAUCUGCCACUUUCUUGCAGUGA